Long non-coding RNA from Marmota monax (woodchuck), 1138 nucleotides. RefSeq lists it as uncharacterized. The transcript is spliced from 4 exons. The record is from RefSeq and is a predicted model, not a curated record. Lineage: Eukaryota; Metazoa; Chordata; Mammalia; Rodentia; Sciuridae.
GAGCUAGAACUUCCGGGUCCAGAUCCCGCCCUCUGCCGACGUUCUUUGGAAGAGUGUGCACGCGAGCUGGUUGCGUUCUCUGAACCGCAGAACUUUGACUACGCAGGUCUAGGGACUUCCUGGGGUGGAUAAUAGGUCUGGGUAGAGGCUGGGAAUUUGCUUUGUGCUUCUGUGUUGGUUGUGGGAAGCAGCCAGAGUAAAUGGGUAGUAGCAGAAACGGUUGAAUGCAGUGACUUUAAUAUUGUACUAUGUUAAAAACUACCAACUUUUAAGGUUGCUGUCACAUCUUACUUCAUCGUCACAGUCUUGUUAAUAAGCCUGAUGUGCAGAUGAGGAAAUUGAUGUAAGCAUGAAAAGGUUACCCACUAGCAAGAGAUGAGAUGAAAAACCUGACUUUGUCUAAUGCACACGUGUGCUUUUACAUGAAGAACCCAGCUUCAGAGAAACACAUCCAGAGAGGUGAAGUGACUUUCCUAAAAUCACCCCAAGAGUCAAUGUUAGAGAAGACUGUGUAACUAAAUCUAUUAUCUCAAACCUGACCUCGGGCAAAGGAGGAUGAAAAACUUUAAGUCUUGAGUUUUGCUGAACAACCUGCCACACUGUAGAUGUUAUAAUACAACUACCAGACUGCUAUUGUUGUCCAUUCUUGGCCACUGACUACUUCUAAUUGGAGUUCAAGAGGCUGGAGUGGGGAAGAAAGGAGAGGAAAAAAAUAUCAAGACAAUGUACAAACCGGCAGUGGUGCCAAGCAGCUGGCCCAGCCAAGGAACCCAUAAAUAGACAUCUGUCUUCUGUCUAGGUUCAAGAUAAAAGCUAGAAGUGGGAAGUUGAAGCUUUAUUAAAGGACACACAGCAGAAAAACUUUUCCUCAGAGGAAGACCCAAGAGGUGGAAACUAUGGAAGGGGGAGUUCUUCCCUCUUUUAUAGCUAAGGUUUACUUUCAGGUUUCCUGCAUUCCUGUCGCAUGUAUUCCUUUAAUUCUAUCUUUUCUUCUUUACUUACUGCCAGACUUUUCCCUUACAUAAAUUUUGAUCUCCCAGUAGUACAGCUUAUAUAGGAAGAAUACAUGCUUAAUUAUUUCCCUUUAUUUGCUAAUUUUCAACAUAAAGAAUUGGUCACUAAAUAUUCUAAAUGACAA